AGAAAUCCUUAUUCCUAUAGACCAGGAAAACGAGGCACAAAAGGCGAUAUUAGCCCACCAGGAGAAAAAGGAUCGUCCGGAGAAGUUGAUUACGGAAGAAUGAACCGAGCUACUCAAGAAAAUGUAGCAACCGAAUGCAAUAGAGUGAACACGGGAUUGAUUGAAAGAAUUAAUAAAAUGGAAGAAAUGAUUCGACAAAUGAAUAGCUCCAUCCCCGAUACUCUAUUUUUGCUGAAGUUGCAAUGUGAACUAUUGAGAAAGAGUCAAAGUUACUUUUGAUGAAAUAAACACGGUUUUUAUUCAAACAGACUCUGUGAAGUACAGUCUCGCGGUCAUUGUUUCUGGUCAGUAUUGCAUUCAUCUAGGGAUGUCAAUGUGAAUGAAGCAAGAAGAAUUUGAGAAAACAAUGGGUUUCCGGCGAAUAUUUAUAACAAGCAACAUAUAAACGAUUUGAUGAUUAAUAUCCGCCAAAUGAUGCUUGGCAGUUAUUCGUUGGUAUGGACUGGCAUGACUGUCGAUACAUCGACAAAUGCAGUUCUCAUACGAGAUCGAGAGGCGGCAUCCCAUGUCAAAUGGAGGAAUAGUCAGUUUCCUCAAAAAAAAAUCAGGUUUGUAUAUUCUCGUUCGUCCUGUAUCAUCAUCAAGCGAUCAAGGGAUGGGGAAUGAUCCACCUACACGAAAUUAACACGGCGUGAUAUGCGAAAAAUGAUAUGCAAUGCAUUUAAGAUUUUCCCUGUUAAGGACUUAUCAAGCGGCCACUUGUUUUUAAGAUGCUAUUAAAAGUAUAAUUCUGAAUUUAUAAUU
Styela clava is the source of this 804-nucleotide non-coding RNA. The record is from RefSeq and is a predicted model, not a curated record. NCBI's taxonomy places the organism in Eukaryota, Metazoa, Chordata, Ascidiacea, Stolidobranchia, Styelidae.